UGGGGAAUAUUGCACAAUGGGCGCAAGCCUGAUGCAGCCAUGCCGCGUGUGUGAAGAAGGCCUUCGGGUUGUAAAGCACUUUCAGCGGGGAGGAAGGCGAUAAGGUUAAUAACCUUGUCGAUUGACGUUACCCGCAGAAGAAGCACCGGCUAACUCCGUGCCAGCAGCCGCGGUAAUACGGAGGGUGCAAGCGUUAAUCGGAAUUACUUGGCGUAAAGCGCACGCAGGUGGUCUGUCAUGUCGGAUGUGAAAUCCCCGGGCUCAACCUGGGAACUGCAUUCGAAACUGGCAGGCUAGAGUCUUGUAGAGGGGGGUAGAAUUCCAGGGGUGGCGGUGAAAUGCGUAGAGAUCUGGAGGAAUACCGGUGGCGAAGGCGGCCCCCUGGACAAAGACUGACGCUCAGGUGCGAAAGCGUGGGGAGCAAACAGG
This 429-nucleotide ribosomal RNA is filed under the name Chloroflexota bacterium. RNAcentral's name for it is "Chloroflexi bacterium partial 16S ribosomal RNA". It matches the Rfam family "Bacterial small subunit ribosomal RNA", at positions 355 to 776 of the family's 1533-position model. The record is from RNAcentral. Lineage: Bacteria; Bacillati; Chloroflexota.